GUGGGGAAUAUUGCACAAUGGGCGCAAGCCUGAUGCAGCAACGCCGCGUGAGCGAAGAAGGUCUUCGGAUUGUAAAGCUCUGUCCUUGAGGAAGAAGGAAGUGACGGUACUCAAGGAGGAAGCCCCGGCUAACUACGUGCCAGCAGCCGCGGUAAUACGUAGGGGGCAAGCGUUAUCCGGAAUUAUUGGGCGUAAAGAGUACGUAGGUGGUUUUGUAAGCGCGGGGUGAAAGGCAGUGGCUUAACCAUUGUAAGCCUUGCGAACUGCGAGACUUGAGUGCAGGAGAGGAAAGCGGAAUUCCUAGUGUAGCGGUGAAAUGCUUAGAUAUUAGGAGGAACACCAGUGGCGAAGGCGGCUUUCUGGACUGUAACUGACACUGAGGUACGAAAGCGUGGGGAGCAAACAGGA
RNAcentral lists this ribosomal RNA (408 nucleotides) under uncultured bacterium. RNAcentral describes it as "bacterial SSU rRNA". It matches the Rfam family "Bacterial small subunit ribosomal RNA", at positions 354 to 777 of the family's 1533-position model. The record is from RNAcentral.